RNAcentral lists this ribosomal RNA (513 nucleotides) under uncultured bacterium. Its description in RNAcentral is "bacterial SSU rRNA". It matches the Rfam family "Bacterial small subunit ribosomal RNA", at positions 372 to 879 of the family's 1533-position model. The record is from RNAcentral.
UGGGCGAAAGCCUGACCGAGCGACGCCGCGUGCGGGAUGAAGGCCUUCGGGUUGUAAACCGCUGUCGUUGGGGAGGAAGUGCAGGGGGGUUCUCCCCUCUGUUUGACCUAUCCAAGGAGGAAGUACGGGCUAAGUUCGUGCCAGCAGCCGCGGUAAGACGAACCGUACGAACGUUAUUCGGAAUUACUGGGCUUAAAGGGUGCGUAGGCGGCGCGGUAAGUUGGGUGUGAAAGCCCUCAGCUCAACUGAGGAACUGCACUCAAAACUACCGCGCUUGAGGGAGACAGAGGUAAGCGGAACUCAAGGUGGAGCGGUGAAAUGCGUUGAUAUCUUGAGGAACACCGGUGGCGAAGGCGGCUUACUGGGUCUUUUCUGACGCUGAGGCACGAAAGCUAAGGUAGCAAACGGGAUUAGAUACCCCGGUAGUCUUAGCUGUAAACGAUGAGCACUUGUUUGAAGGGUCCUCCAUAGCCUUUCAGACGUAGCGAAAGUGUUAAGUGCUCCGCCUGGGGA